Non-coding RNA from Branchiostoma floridae (Florida lancelet), 94 nucleotides. The record is from Rfam. NCBI's taxonomy places the organism in Eukaryota, Metazoa, Chordata, Leptocardii, Amphioxiformes, Branchiostomatidae.
GUGUGUUUGCGUGUGGAUGGUGUUUAGCACCAAGGACAGGCAUGCUUGGGUGGAUGUGGAUGGCGUUCAACACCAGAGACAAGUGUGUUUGUUU